UGGGGAAUUUUGGACAAUGGGCGAAAGCCUGAUCCAGCAAUGCCGCGUGUGUGAAGAAGGCCUUCGGGUUGUAAAGCACUUUUGUCCGGAAAGAAAUCCUUGGCUCUAAUACAGUCGGGGGAUGACGGUACCGGAAGAAUAAGCACCGGCUAACUACGUGCCAGCAGCCGCGGUAAUACGUAGGGUGCAAGCGUUAAUCGGAAUUACUGGGCGUAAAGCGUGCGCAGGCGGUUUGCUAAGACCGAUGUGAAAUCCCCGGGCUCAACCUGGGAACUGCAUUGGUGACUGGCAGGCUAGAGUAUGGCAGAAGGGGGUAGAAUUCCACGUGUAGCAGUGAAAUGCGUAGAGAUGUGGAGGAAUACCGAUGGCGAAGGCAGCCCCCUGGGCCAAUACUGACGCUCAUGCACGAAAGCGUGGGGAGCAAACAGGAUUAGAUACCCUGGUAGUCCACGCCCUAAACGAUGUCAACUAGUUGUUGGGGAUUCAUUUCCUUAGUAACGUAGCUAACGCGUGAAGUUGACCGCCUGGGGAGUACGGUCGCAAGAUUAAAACUCAAAGGAAUUGAC
RNAcentral lists this ribosomal RNA (566 nucleotides) under uncultured bacterium. RNAcentral describes it as "partial 16S ribosomal RNA". It matches the Rfam family "Bacterial small subunit ribosomal RNA", at positions 355 to 914 of the family's 1533-position model. The record is from RNAcentral.